AUGGGGAGGGCAGCUCUACCUGCAUCUGUGGAAUUGAUUCCUGUGACCUAAACUAUUGACUGUAAGAGGGAACAAUUCCUUAAGACUACGUGUGCAGAGCAAGGGUUCUAUAUGGCCCUGGCUGAGCCUCGGCACCUUUCUUCCAUCUACACGUGUUCACCCAAGAACACCGUGACCAGGAUCAUCCGACCUGGAAACUGAGAGACGAUAAGAGAUUUGGGGAGUAUGACUCUCUGUUCUGCCACGGGGCUGCUUCAUUUCUAAGCAAUUCCUAGCAACUUGUGGAAACAACUCCUGACAGGAAGUUACAGAGCACCAGCCAACAAACAGUUCACACAGAAAUUGGGUUCACUGGCCACUCUCAGGAUACCAGACCUCUGACCGGUAGACACGUUGUGGAAUGUCUGUUCUUCGGAAGACUCUUUGUGGCUCAUGAUGGUGACCUUGGACAGCUUCCCUGACCUUCCGACUACAGUGUGGAAGUGCGGACACCAAGAACAGGAGUCUUGUGCCCUAUGAAGGCAAGAUGAACCCUGAGAUUUGACGGCUCUAGCUGGAGAUGGCUUAACCCUGCCAACAAACUGCAUGUCUGGCAAGCACGGAAGAGAGAAAGCCAAACAGAGGUGGAGGUCUUCAUCGAGGAUGCAGAAACCACGAAGUGUGAUUGAUGGCUGUCCAGGAAAGAAUCCCAUAAUGAGUUUUGAAGAGUUCACAGCUAUUCCAACAAAAACGCCACAAAUAAAUCCAUGUGCAUGUGUGUGCACAUGUGUGUAUAUGUGUGUAUGGAUGUAUCAUUGUAUGUUCAUGUGCCUAUGUG
Long non-coding RNA from Arvicola amphibius (Eurasian water vole), 817 nucleotides. RefSeq lists it as uncharacterized. Lineage: Eukaryota; Metazoa; Chordata; Mammalia; Rodentia; Cricetidae. The record is from RefSeq and is a predicted model, not a curated record. The transcript has 4 exons.